AUGAGAGCAACGGAGGCAGAGGCGGGUGCCUGCUGGUGGUCGACAGCGAGCGGCGCGUCGAAUCCGGUAUCGUGCUGCGGACGCCGACGUCUUCUCGGGUCGACAGGGGCUAGAGUGAAGAGGGGGAAGUGGUCGGGGUCAGUGGUGCUGGGGAGUAGGGCCGACCAAGUGCGGUGGCUCAAGGCGACGGGGGAGCGCCGGUUGUGCCCUGGCUGCUCGCGUGCGGCUGCUCGGGGCGGUGGGGGAGGGCCCAGGCCAGCGGCACCAUGGGGGCAGGGACACGGGACGCCGCCGGUGGGGGCGGGGCCGCCGGAGGCUUGCAGGGAUGCUGGUGCAUAG
This 339-nucleotide ribosomal RNA is filed under the name Triticum aestivum (bread wheat). Its description in RNAcentral is "partial small subunit ribosomal RNA". The record is from RNAcentral. Lineage: Eukaryota; Viridiplantae; Streptophyta; Magnoliopsida; Poales; Poaceae.